ACUGCUCAGUAACACGUGGAUAACCUGCCCUUGGGUCCGGCAUAACCCCGGGAAACUGGGGAUAAUUCCGGAUAACGCACAUAUGCUGGAAUGCUUUAUGCGUAAAAUGGAUUCGUCUGCCCAAGGAUGGGUCUGCGGCCUAUCAGGUAGUAGUGGGUGUAAUGUACCUACUAGCCAACAACGGGUACGGGUUGUGAGAGCAAGAGCCCGGAGAUGGAUUCUGAGACAUGAAUCCAGGCCCUACGGGGCGCAGCAGGCGCGAAAACUUUACAAUGCGGGAAACCGUGAUAAGGGGACACCGAGUGCCAGCAUCAUAUGCUGGCUGUCCAGGUGUGUAAAAUACACCUGUUAGCAAGGGCCGGGCAAGACCGGUGCCAGCCGCCGCGGUAACACCGGCGGCCCGAGUGGUGAUCGUGAUUAUUGGGUCUAAAGGGUCCGUAGCCGGUUUGGUCAGUCCUCCGGGAAAUCUGACGGCUUAACCGUUAGGCUUUCGGGGGAUACUGCCAGGCUUGGAACCGGGAGAGGUAAGAGGUACUACAGGGGUAGGAGUGAAAUCUUGUAAUCCCUGUGAGACCACCUGUGGCGAAGGCGUCUUACCAGAACGGGUUCGACGGUGAGGGACGAAAGCUGGGGGCACGAACCGGAUUAGAUACCCGGGUAGUCCCAGCCGUAAACGAUGCUCGCUAGGUGUCAGGCAUGGCGCGACCGUGUCUGGUGCCGCAGGGAAGCCGUGAAGCGAGCCACCUGGGAAGUACGGCCGCAAGGCUGAAACUUAAAGGAAUUGGCGGGGGAG
This 793-nucleotide ribosomal RNA is filed under the name uncultured archaeon. RNAcentral's name for it is "bacterial SSU rRNA". It matches the Rfam family "Archaeal small subunit ribosomal RNA", at positions 85 to 876 of the family's 1478-position model. The record is from RNAcentral.